CAGGGUGUAGCUAAGUAGACUAGCAUCUCCUUUACACUGAGAGGAUGCCCGUGCAAUUCGGGCCACCCUGA
This 71-nucleotide transfer RNA is filed under the name Pseudorhombus cinnamoneus (cinnamon flounder). RNAcentral's name for it is "tRNA-Val". It matches the Rfam family "tRNA". From Rfam's summary of the family: Transfer RNA (tRNA) molecules are approximately 80 nucleotides in length. Their secondary structure includes four short double-helical elements and three loops (D, anti-codon, and T loops). Further hydrogen bonds mediate the characteristic L-shaped molecular structure. tRNAs have two regions of fundamental functional importance: the anti-codon, which is responsible for specific mRNA codon recognition, and the 3' end, to which the tRNAs corresponding amino acid is attached (by aminoacyl-tRNA synthetases). tRNAs cope with the degeneracy of the genetic code in two manners: having more than one tRNA (with a specific anti-codon) for a particular amino acid; and 'wobble' base-pairing, i.e. permitting non-standard base-pairing at the 3rd anti-codon position. RNAcentral also lists the same sequence under 1 other name. The record is from RNAcentral. Lineage: Eukaryota; Metazoa; Chordata; Actinopteri; Pleuronectiformes; Paralichthyidae.